ACAACAGCUAAACAUAUGGCAAAUCACUUCUAUUUUUUUAGCUAUCAAAUAGUGGAUUGGAUUGCAUGCUGAAAACCUCAGUAAGCUGGAGAGAUGAAUCACCAGGAACAUGCCAGAACUGGAAUGAAGGGAGAGAAAGAGAUCAGCAGAAACCAGGGAAAAGAUGUGGCUUCAUUUCAUCACAAACAGGACUCUGGGGUAAUGCAAACUGUACUGUCUCUCUUCGUUGUAUUUGUAAAAGUAAAUUUGCAUGGAAAAUAGAGAAAGAGAUCCCAAAAGACCAGAACCAUCAAGGAGUAUGCCCCAAACGCUGGC
Molecule: long non-coding RNA, 315 nt
Organism: Neopsephotus bourkii (Bourke's parrot)
Lineage: Eukaryota; Metazoa; Chordata; Aves; Psittaciformes; Psittacidae
Exons: 3
Source: RefSeq, a predicted model, not a curated record